This 465-nucleotide ribosomal RNA is filed under the name uncultured bacterium. RNAcentral's name for it is "bacterial SSU rRNA". It matches the Rfam family "Bacterial small subunit ribosomal RNA", at positions 338 to 795 of the family's 1533-position model. The record is from RNAcentral.
CCUACGGGUGGCACCAGUGGGGAAUAUUGCACAAUGGGCGCAAGCCUGACGCAGCCACGCCGCGUGUAUGAAGAAGGCCUUCGGGUUGUAAAGUACUUUCAGCGGGGAGGAAGGUGUUGUGGUUAAUAACCGCAGCAAUUGACGUUACCCGCAGAAGAAGCACCGGCUAACUCCGUGCCAGCAGCCGCGGUAAUACGGAGGGUGCAAGCGUUAAUCGGAAUUACUGGGCGUAAAGCGCACGCAGGCGGUCUGUCAAGUCGGAUGUGAAAUCCCCGGGCUCAACCUGGGAACUGCAUUCGAAACUGGCAGGCUAGAGUCUUGUAGAGGGGGGUAGAAUUCCAGGUGUAGCGGUGAAAUGCGUAGAGAUCUGGAGGAAUACCGGUGGCGAAGGCGGCCCCCUGGACAAGGACUGACGCUCAGGUGCGAAAGCGUGGGGAGCAAACAGGAUUAGAUACCCCCGUAGUC